Molecule: ribosomal RNA, 532 nt
Filed under: uncultured bacterium
Lineage: Bacteria
Description: bacterial SSU rRNA
Rfam family: Bacterial small subunit ribosomal RNA
Source: RNAcentral
AGAGUUUGAUCAUGGCUCAGGACGAACGCUGGCGGCGCGCUUAACACAUGCAAGUCGAGCGAGAACCAGCCCUUCGGGGCUGGGGACAGCGGCGAACGGGUGAGUAACACGUGAGUAAUCCACCCUCGGCACCGGGAUAGCCCGGGGAAACCCGGAUUAAUACCGGAUGGCCCAUUCGCCCUUCGGGGAUGAAUGGAAAAGGUAGCUUCGGCCUCUGGCCGAGGACGAGCUCGCGGCGGAUUAGCUUGUUGGCGGGGUAACGGCCCACCAAGGCGACGAUCCGUAGCUGGUCUGAGAGGACGAUCAGCCACACUGGGACUGAGACACGGCCCAGACUCCUACGGGAGGCAGCAGUGGGGAAUCUUGCGCAAUGGGCGAAAGCCUGACGCAGCGACGCCGCGUGAGGGAAGAAGGCCUUCGGGUUGUAAACCUCUUUCAGGAGGGACGAAGCCACUCGGGUGAAUAGCCCAGAGGGUGACGGUACCUCCAGAAGAAGCCCCGGCUAACUACGUGCCAGCAGCCGCGGUAAUAC